GAACAAUCCUGCUUCCCAGGCUCCAGGAAUUUGCUCCUUUCCUCUACCCCAUCCUGCUCCCUUGGGGCCUUGAUCACUUUUCCUACCCUGACCUGCAGAUAGCCUUGUGGCUAAUGACUUUGUGUGCUAAUCCUCCCCCAGGUGUGUCCCAGAGGGCACCUGGAGAGCGGUAGUGGGGUCUCAGUGGUAGGGGGAGCACUUUCCUACAUCACAAUGCCCAGGUGCUUUUGAGCACUUAAUCUGCCAGCUUGUCAGGCAGGUCUGUGGUCUCAGGUGCUGACUGACUGGCCAAAGAGUUAUGGGGAGGGGCAGCUAAACCCCUGUGGCCACAGUCAACCCCUUCAGAGCACAGGGGCUCUUCUUGGGACCUCUGAAGCCUGGACAAGAGGAGAGAAGCAGAGAAACCUGGGGGCACCAUUAUGAUGCGCCACGCAGUGGAGUUGCGUGGGUGGGAGAAGCACACGGCUCUGGGUCUUCAGAACUGGCCCCCAAGAUGAUGAAACAGGCGUGGAGAGGAUGAGUAACUUUCCCAAGGGCUGAUGCCUGGGCUCCCUGCUCACCCAGACCUUCCUGAGGAGUGACACCCCUCCUGCCUGCUGACCUCCAGGUUGUCUCCUCCUCCUAGGUCCUGGCUCCCUGGCUCUCCUUGCACACAGGUGGCUCUUCCUAACCCUCUAUCAUCAAAUGUCCUGCGUGAUUUGGGGCAUGUGGCAGAGAUUGCUGACAGAUCACCAAACCCAUUGCAUCUCCUUUCUGGGCACACAGCGAGGCUUCAUUUUCUAGCAUCACUUGCAGUUUAGUUGUGUCCUUGGGAAUGAAUUCUGGCCAAUGGCACGUGAGGUGGUAUGCGCCACUUCCAGGCCUCACCAUAAAGAUGUCCCAGGUAGAAGCCUCCGUGUCAGCAAAUUUUGAUUCACGUUGCAGAGAUUAGAUUUGAAGCUCAGAAAGACCUUGCUUGAUUGGACAAAGAGGCGCAGUGCACUGCCGGCAGAGGCCUUCCUCUGUGCUGUCUCUAGCAACUUUCUGUUGCCCCGCCCUGGGCUGAGAACAGGCGGAAGUCUCCAUGGACUGUGUCUGUGGGUCUGGGGUCCUUCUGCUUCUACUGCUCUCUGCUCCCUCCUGGGAGGUGUCUUCAGCGAGGCACGUGCUCCAGCUGAAGCCAUCUCAGUCUAAACCGAGUUAGAAGGAGUGUCAUACUAGCUGAAGAGGCUGAGUCAAGUGUUCAUCAAGCCGUAAAUGAACAGCUGCCUCCCUCUUUGAGCCCGAUGCCUGGAUUAUUCAUUCCUUUUGGCUUUCAGAUCCUUCUUUUGGAUCCAGACAGAAACUGC
RNAcentral lists this long non-coding RNA (1328 nucleotides) under Equus caballus (horse). RNAcentral describes it as "lncRNA (ENSECAG00000045223.1)". Lineage: Eukaryota; Metazoa; Chordata; Mammalia; Perissodactyla; Equidae. The record is from RNAcentral.